This 3875-nucleotide long non-coding RNA is filed under the name Sus scrofa (pig). RNAcentral's name for it is "lncRNA (ENSSSCG00000056147.1)". The record is from RNAcentral. Lineage: Eukaryota; Metazoa; Chordata; Mammalia; Artiodactyla; Suidae.
UUUUUUUUUUUUUUUGCCUUUUUGUCUUUUGUUGUUGUUGUUGUUGCUAUUUCUUGGGCCGCUUCCGCGGCAUAUGGAGGUUCCCAGGCUAGGGGUUGAAUCGGAGCUGUAGCCACCGGCCUACGCCAGAGCCACAGCAACGCAGGAUCCGAGCCACGUCUGCAACCUACACCACAGCUCACUGCAACGCCAGAUCGUUAACCCACUGAGCAAGGGCAGGGACCGAACCCGCAACCUCAUGGUUCCUAGUCGGAUUCGUUAACCACUGCGCCACGACGGGAACUCCUCUUCAUUACUUUUCAUAACCUGAAAGACUGUUUAUUAUAUAUUAAUUUCAUAUUCAGUUACAUUCUCUCAAUUCUGUAAUUAUUUUUAAUAAUUUUUCAGUUGAUUCUCUUAGAUUUUUCUAGUCAUUCAGUUAUAUUAUUUGUAAAUAAUGGUGAUUACUUCCUUUUUAAUUUUUUUUUUUGUCUUUUGUCCUUUUAGGGCCACACCCGUGGCAUAUGGAGGUUCCCAGGCUAGGGGUCUAAUUGGAGCUGUCGCCGCUGGCCUAUGCCAGAGCCACAGCAACGCCAGAUCCAAGCUGUGUCUGCGGCCUACACCACAGCUCAGGGCAAUGCCGGAUCCUUAACCCACUGAGCGAGGCCAGGGAUCGAAUCCGCAACCUCAUGGUUUCUAGUCAUAUUCAUUUCUGUUGUACCACGACAGGAAAUCCCCCCUUUUUAAUUUUUAUAUCUAUCUUUAUUUCUUUCUCCUGUUUAAUUGUAUUGGCUAAUGUCUCCAGGAAAUAUAGAAUAAUAGUGGUGAUAAGAGUACUUUCUUUUUUUCUGAGUUUAAUGAAGGAUGCUUCAGUUGUUUCCUUAUUAAGCUUUGUGGUAGCUUUGGGGAUUAGAUAUAUUUUAUUAUGUUAAGGGAUAUAUAUUUCUAUUUUAUUGGAUUUUUAAUAUAUCAAGAGUAAAUGUUGAAUGCUUUAUUAGUUGCCUUUUAAACAUCAGUGGAAAUGACAAUGUGAUUUUUCUUUGUUCACAUAUUAUGGCAGUCUGUGUAAUAGAUUUCCCAAAAUUGAUGCAUCCUUGCAAUCCUAAAAACAAAACAAAAAUAACAUUUGAUCUUGGUAUAUUAGUCUUUUAAUAUACUGCUAGAUUCUGUUUCACAAUAUUUUAUUUAAGACUUCUACUUCAGUCUUCAAGAUUGAUUUUUAAAAAUUUUGGUGUUACUUUCAUUGGGUUUUGGAAUAAAUGUUAUUCUCCCUUCACAAAAAGAAUUUGGAAACUUUUCUAAAUUUAGGAAUAAUUUCAAUAGCAUUGAAAUCAUCUGUUUUUUAAAGCUUUAGUAGAAUUCUCCAGUGAUAUUAUCUGGGUAAAUGUUUAGAGGGGAAGUUAGACCCUGAUAAUUUUUCUCUAUUUUCUGUUAGGUGAUUAUUCUAUUUAGUAUUUUCUCUUUACUGGAACCAGUUUUUAUGUGUUAAAAUUGUUUUAGAAAAGAUUUCUUCUUUAUCCAUAAUUUAUAUUCAUAGAAUUGAGAAAAGGGAUUGUUAUGGUUCUUUAACUUUCCUCUGAAUUCAUAGGUCUUUCUGUUUUUAACUUUGUAUAUUUGUGCUUUGUCUCCCCUUUUUUUUUUUGAUUACAUUAACUAAUUAUCUGAUUUAUUGCUUCUUUUUCCUGAAUAAACAGCUUUUGACUUAUUCUGUCAUCUUCUAUUUUCUUGUUGAUUUUCACAUUUAAUUUUAUUCUUUCCUUCUACUUUCCUUAUAUUUAUUUUUCAUUUUCCAACUUGCAACUUAAUUUCUUUAUUUUCAUUCUUUUUCAUUAGUUAAUAUAAAAAGUACUGAAUUUUCAUUACAAUAUUGCUUUAACUGGAUCCCAUAGGCAUUUUUUUUUUAUGUAGUGCUUUUCAUUUACCAUUUCCUAGAUAUUCCAUAAUUUCCUUUUUUAUCUUCUCUUUUAACCAGUAGAGUUUUUUAAUAGUUUUGAGGUGGUAGAUUCUUUUUUUUUUUAAUUUCCUGAUUUUGUUAAUUACUGCACUGUUACUUUGUUUUACUGCAUUGAGAAUUUUUCUGUAUAUAUUUAUAGACCACAGAAAAUAAUGCAAAGAUAAUAGCAAAUUGUUUCUAUUUUUUACCUCAGAGAGGUGUCUUGUGAGGGAAGUGGGAAAGCUUAUCAAUUUUUCUUUAUACCAUUUUAAGUUUUUUGACUUGCUAAGACAAGCCUGUAAUACUUUUAUAAUUUAAAAAAUUGAAUACAAUUUAUACAUGUACAUAUGUAUGUAUCUGUCUGUCAACACACACACAAACACAUGCACACCUGGAAGGAAAUAUGGAAAUAUAUCAAAAAUAUUAGGUGUUUACUUUGGAAAUAGGUUGGAGAAUUUAGAGACCAAUGAAAGGAACUCCCAUUAUGUGUUUUAUGUACUGUAUUUAUAUUUUUACAGUGACAAUUUUAGGAGAAAACUUAGUCAAACGGCUAUGUGAGGUCAAAAUAAAAAGGUGUUUGUGGAAUUAAUAAAAAUGCUGGAUGAUAGAAAAUAAGAAACAAGAAGCCAGUCAGAAUUAAAGUGUUCUAAGGCAGUUGCCUUAAAACUGAAAUGUGUAUAACCUAGGAGGUAUUAAAACUUUCUAAAAGGUAUGUGGGCACAAUAAAUUAAAUGAAUUAAUGUCUAAAUCCUCAGUUGUCAGUUGUAUUUCUUCCUAAAAUUGACCUGCUUGAGAAAGCACCUGUGACUGAGCCACCUGCUGAUUGUCCUUUCCCACCUCCACUUUCCCAGCUGACGUUUUCUAACUUCAUAAAAGAAAGGCAGACCUCUCAUUAUUCUGGCUUUCAGGGGUAUAAAAAUUUCUAGGGAACUAGAGGGAUAAUUUGAAAUAGGGUGCCUAGUUGAAGGUAAAAGAAAAUCCGUUCAUAGAUCAAGUGGCUUCUAAUUCUUUGCUUUUAACAAAUUGAGAUGGUUAAUGGAAUUGUUAGCUAUGGGAUAGUCUGCUAUUUCCCCCCAGUGCCCAUCUCCCUGAGGCUUCCAUUUUUAACAAGCCCUCCCACCCACCUCCACUGAGUUUUAACAGAACAUGUCUACCUAGCUGGAGACUACGUUUCCUAACCUUUUUUCAUAGAUGAGGUUUAACUCUGUGGCUAAAGUUCUUGUCAAUAGCCAGUAAAAGGAAGUAGUAUGUGCUACUUACAGGUCUUGCUCUUUGUAGUAGAUUGGGAAAAAGAAAAAAGGAAAAAAAAAUACCUCACAUUUCUCCAUCUCUAAAUACUCGCCUCUUGAGGCGUGACUUCUCUGCCUGUGGAAUCUAGGCUUAGCCAUAUUACUUGCUUUAGCUGAUGAGACAAACUUAGCAAAUGUGGUUCAAGCAGAGUCUCGUAAAAUCCUUAUAUGUUGGAUUUUUGCCCUAUUUUGCUGCUUUUAGAACCCAGCCACUCUGACAAAGCCAGACUAGCCUGCUAGAUGCUAGAGAUGUGACACAGGUCUCUCUCGUCACCCCAGCCGAGCAUCAGACCUUUGGCGGAGGCCGUCUUCAACCAUCAGUACCCAGACAACCUCCAGCUGACUACAGACAAAGGAGUGAGCCCAAGGGACCAGUAGAACAACUGCCAGUUUAGCGCAGCCCAACCACAGAAUUGUAAGCUAAUAAAUGACUCUCAAAAUUUUAAACUACCAUUGGAGUUUGCAUUGUGGCGCAGCGGAAACGAAUCCGACUAGUAUACAUGAGGAUUCGAGGUUUGAUCCCUACCCUCGGGGAUCUGGUGUUGCCAUGAGCUGCGGUGUAGUGUAGGUCACAGGUGCAGUUUGGAUCCCCUGUUGCUGUGGCUGUGGUGUAGGCUGGCAGCUGUAGCUCUGAUUAGACCCUUAGCCUGGGAACUUCCAUAUUUCCCAGGUGC